UUAAUAAUAGAAAAGAUUAAAAAUAAAACUAAAAGGACGCGGUAACCUUGACCGUGAUAAUGUAGCAUAAUCACUCGCCAUUUAAUUGAUGGAUAGUAUGAAUGGUUGAACGAAUAUUCCACUGUCUUAAAGAGAAUUACAAGAAAUUGAAAUAAUAGUUAAGAUGCUAUUUAAAACUGUAAGACGAAAAGACCCUAUAGAGCUUAACUAUAAUCUCUUUAUUAACCAAGAAAAAUAAUUUUCUUAUUUAAAAAGAUUGGUAGUUUAGUUGGGGCGACUGUCUUCUAAAAAGAACGAAGACAAGCAAUGUUAAUAAAAAACUUAUUGUAUAAUAAAUUUAUUUAACAAUUAUUAAAGUAGGCUAUAUUGACCCGUUUUUACUAAAAAACAAAGAAAAACGAUCAAUUGAUAAAAGCUACCUUAGGGAUAACAGGAUAAUUUCAUUUUAGAGCUCAUAUCGAAAAUGAAGUUUGUCACCUCUAUGUUGAAUUAAGAUAUCC
Molecule: ribosomal RNA, 500 nt
Filed under: Obelia dichotoma (sea thread hydroid)
Lineage: Eukaryota; Metazoa; Cnidaria; Hydrozoa; Leptothecata; Obeliidae
Description: partial 16S ribosomal RNA
Rfam family: Bacterial large subunit ribosomal RNA
Source: RNAcentral